GUAUUGUCUGAAAAGGGAGGUUAACACUCUUUUUGAUAAGGAUGGAAGAGGAUUCAGCCUGCAACACACAGAGGCAUUGCCACCUACUUAAAGUCUCGUAAGUCAUUAUUAAAUCACUGUUUUUA
Non-coding RNA from Erinaceus europaeus (western European hedgehog), 125 nucleotides. The record is from Rfam. Lineage: Eukaryota; Metazoa; Chordata; Mammalia; Eulipotyphla; Erinaceidae.